This 601-nucleotide unclassified non-coding RNA is filed under the name Hevea brasiliensis (rubber tree). The record is from RNAcentral. Lineage: Eukaryota; Viridiplantae; Streptophyta; Magnoliopsida; Malpighiales; Euphorbiaceae.
GAUCAAGGACAAGACCUUCAACCUAGAAAAGAACCAAACACACAAAAUAACCAAAGGACACCCACAGUAUUGACAAAGGACAUUACCAUUUAACAAGUAUCAAGUAGAAAGAAUUGCAGCUUCAAUGAAUCAUUAAAAUACACAGGUUAUAAAUUUAUAUGCAAAUCAUUAAUUUCAAGAAUAACAAUUAUAGUUCAUACUUCAUACGAUCAUCAUGGAAGGCUUGAAUCCUCUAUGAUGGUCAAGAGAUUUUAUGGGAUUGCAUCCCCUCACAUUUAAAGUAACUCUGUUAUAAUGAUUUAAAUGGUAAGUGUAUGUGCAAAAUCCACUUCAGCCACAGCAAAACAAUAGCUAGUUAGCUACAAUGUUGUGCAUUGUCAAGUAACCAACUCGAAUAGGCAUCCAUGUGUACUAAACCAGUGAACAUCUUUUAUUGAUCUGUUUUUACGUUAAGCAAAUAUGGAACUUCAUGACCUCUCUUAUAGGUAUUGCUAGCUCAAUGCUUUAUGGUGUAGAUAAAGUGGAAAAGACUGAAAUGAGGAUUCGCUCAAUCCAACUUGUAAUAUUUCAGUAGAAAAGUAUCAUGAAAACUCAACUAAUU